AGAGUUUGAUCCUGGCUCAGGAUGAACGCUAGCGGCAGGCCUAACACAUGCAAGUCGAGGGGUAACAGAGGGUAGCAAUACCCUGCUGACGACCGGCGCACGGGUGCGUAACGCGUAUGCAACCUGCCUCCAACAGGGGGAUAACGGAGGGAAACUUCCACUAAUACCCCGUAUGGUCGGGGAGCCGCAUGACUUCCGACGAAAGUUUCGGCGGUUGGAGAUGGGCAUGCGUGACAUUAGCGUAGUUGGCGGGGCAACGGCCCACCAAGGCUGCGAUGUCUAGGGGAGCUGAGAGGCUAAUCCCCCACACUGGUACUGAGACACGGACCAGACUCCUACGGGAGGCAGCAGUGAGGAAUAUUGGUCAAUGGUCGGAAGACUGAACCAGCCAUGCCGCGUGAGGGAAAGAAGGCCCUAUGGGUUGUAAACCUCUUUUGCACGGGAGUAAUAAGGAUCUUGCGAGGUCCGAUGAGAGUACCGUGCGAAUAAGCAUCGGCUAACUCCGUGCCAGCCGCUGC
This 518-nucleotide ribosomal RNA is filed under the name uncultured bacterium. RNAcentral's name for it is "bacterial SSU rRNA". It matches the Rfam family "Bacterial small subunit ribosomal RNA", at positions 8 to 518 of the family's 1533-position model. The record is from RNAcentral.